Molecule: long non-coding RNA, 1264 nt
Filed under: Pavo cristatus (Indian peafowl)
Lineage: Eukaryota; Metazoa; Chordata; Aves; Galliformes; Phasianidae
Description: lncRNA (ENSPSTG00000009999.1)
Source: RNAcentral
CUAUUGCUUUUCACCUGCCCUGUCAUCUCAUGAUGGCUUGAGAGAAUCCUUAUUCUCUCCAGGACGAGAGUUAUCUCUCACCUCCCAUUUCCACUCCUUUCACAAAGAAACACCAGGUUGCCUUUUGCCAGCAAGAGACUCCAAUCAGCCUUCACCUUUCCCCCCAGACUUUUGCCUGGCUCCGGUGCUGGAGGUUGCCAGAUUCAGGGCAGGAGAGCCAUAGGAACUGGGGAAAAAACUGAACGUCAGAUUUUUUCACAUCCUUUCCUCCACAUUCAGAUGGGAGGAGGAGGCUGCUGGGUGUGACCUCCCUCCAUGGGGACGCCAACGCAGGCACUGGCUGCCUCUUCAAUUCCUUCAAUUCCAAUUCUCUUUCAGAAAACAGAGCCAGCACACCCUAGCUGCUGCUCAGCAGUGACACACCGGGCACACAGGUGCAAGUUUACAUCGAAAAUCGUAGCUUGUAAGAAGUUAGUGUCUUUCCAUAAAAACACGUUUUAUUUUUCCGCUUUAAACUUAUGUUGUGGAUUACAAAUAACGGACGGCAUCAGCCUGACGCAUGUCAGCAUGUGUGCUCCUUUGUUCCGGCCGGGAUAAUCUGCGCUUGUCACACGCGGCGUACGGCAGCGGGGCCGCGCGGUGCCCGAGGCGCUGCUCUGCCCCUCCGAAGACCUCGGCAGCGCCCGCAGAACCGCUGCCGGGAGGUUUGAGCCCCCCUCAGCCUUUCAGCCCAGUACCCCGCCGUAGCGACCGGGCCGAGCCGCCCCGAGCCGCCUCUCAGCUGCACCAACGGCCCCGCCCCGGGCAGAACGCGGCGCCCUCAGAGCUCGGACCUCCGCACCGGCAGGGGGCGCCCGCGUGUGGCGGCGGGCGGAAGCGUCGCCGCGUUCCGCCGCCGCUGCCGCCGCCGGCUGCUCGCCGCGCUCCGCCGCCGGGCGAGGACGGGCGCGAGGGACGGGCAGCUGCGGCUCCGCAGCACCGCGGGGCGGGGGCCGGGCCGCGCCUCAGCCUGCAGCCGGAGCAGGGCAGUCGUGCCGCGCUAGGGGCAGGCCCCGCCGGACGCGACGCCGAGGAGACGCCAGGCCGCGGCCCAGGGUGCUGGUGUGGCUUUGCUAGGCUGAGGAGGGAACAGUUGGUGUGUGUUCUCAGAGCCGCGUUAAGCACAUCUCUGCGAGACAAGGGGCUGCCCAGCUUUUCUUGGCAGGAUGGGCGCAGGUCUGUCAGUACGGUUUUGCUCCAGGGUUGGUUGGAUCUUCAGUCUUGA